RNAcentral lists this ribosomal RNA (257 nucleotides) under uncultured bacterium. RNAcentral's name for it is "partial 16S ribosomal RNA". It matches the Rfam family "Bacterial small subunit ribosomal RNA", at positions 77 to 334 of the family's 1533-position model. The record is from RNAcentral.
UAGCAAUACCGGGUGGCGACCGGCGCACGGGUGAGUAACACGUAUCCAACCUGCCGAUAACUCGGGGAUAGCCUUUCGAAAGAAAGAUUAAUAUCCGAUAGUAUAUUAAAACCGCAUGGUUUUACUAUUAAAGAAUUUCGGUUAUCGAUGGGGAUGCGUUCCAUUAGUUUGUUGGCGGGGUAACGGCCCACCAAGACUACGAUGGAUAGGGGUUCUGAGAGGAAGGUCCCCCACAUUGGAACUGAGACACGGUCCAA